GGCAGUAUGUCUGGCUCGAGAGGAGGUGCUGGAUUCGUGAUUCAUGGCCCGAACUCGAAAUCAUUGGCGGCAUAUGGGAGUUGUCCGGUAGAUACUACAGUCUCAGGGGCAAAGUUACGGGCAGCAUGGGUUGGCAAUGCCUAUUCGAGGUUAGUGCUUAUGAUGGAACAACUUAUCAUUGAGGAUAACUCGAUUAUCGUGAUAAGAUGGAUUUAGAAGCAAGAUAUAAAGAAUGUUGCUCACCUACUUAUGAGGGACAUUACGAUACUGCUAAAGGGAGUUGCUGUCAUAUAUGCCAGACAUAUCUAUAAGGAGGCCAACACCACCACAGAUUGGGUUGUCUCUUUUGU
RNAcentral lists this long non-coding RNA (350 nucleotides) under Elaeis guineensis (African oil palm). Its description in RNAcentral is "long non-coding RNA (EGUI_LNC031472)". The record is from RNAcentral. Lineage: Eukaryota; Viridiplantae; Streptophyta; Magnoliopsida; Arecales; Arecaceae.